This 24-nucleotide non-coding RNA is filed under the name Arabidopsis thaliana (thale cress). Lineage: Eukaryota; Viridiplantae; Streptophyta; Magnoliopsida; Brassicales; Brassicaceae. The record is from RNAcentral.
AAGUUGAUAGUGCUGAUGUUGAUG